GAUAUUUCAAAAUUUGAUCUUUUAACAUGUCCGGACACUUGCACAACUAGAGAAUUCAUGAUACUCCUUGACUUUUCAGCAAAAUAUGAUAUCAUCAUAGUUAAAUACAACUUUUGGCAUUUCUACCUUGAAGAUUUCAACUCUAACAUAACAUUUAGCAAUUAUUUAUAAAUUUUGUCAAAUUAAAAAGCAAUUGGGCUAAAAAAUUAUUCAUUUAUACAUACAUUUGUGGAUAUUGACAAGCAAUAUAUAAUAUAAUGUGGGCACAUUGAAGUGUCCGGUUUUUGAACGAUCUCAUACUAGACUCUUGUGGACACUUUAUGCUCAUAUUAUAUGUCUAGGUAGCUGGCAUUAGUUUGUUUCUCAAUCUUCUUUGUAUUUUCUUGUGGUCGGCUUCUGCCUUACACAGUCACUCUAGUUUUUGGGAGUUUUGGAGUACUGACACUUGUGGAAACUUCAAGUGACACAACAUGGCACAACAUCGGUACUCCUUGACACUCCAAAAAUGGGGUUCCCUAUAUACAUCCGAUAGGAGUGUUGGCAAUUGGCACUGCUUUUUGGACGACCCUAUGAAAAAGCACCUUAAUGCAUUAGAUGGCACUUGAAUUCUCAACUAUAUUAUUACUCAUGAAUAUUGCAUUAUAGUGUGCAGAGUCUCCAAACCCUUUUAGUGAAAGGCAACUUUUUUGGUUAUCCCCUUUAUAUUAUUAUAGGGUAAGUCAUAAUUAUUAAAAGUUUGAUUGAAUUGUCAAUCGAUGUUAGCUACAAAUACAUUCUGACACAUUUAUAAUAUUUUAUUAUUACAAGUUAAUGAAAAUGUUAGAUACUUGUGACACUUGCAACCUUUAUCUGUGUAUAGGUAACAUUGGUAGACAAUGAGUGUCACAGAGAUGUGAACAUUGUGAUGGAUGCCCGUAAACUUAAGUAUGACAAAAGUGAAAAGUAUACAUUAGGUUAAAUGUAUGAAUUCUACCGAAGUUUUUGGUACAAUCUGCCUAAGCAUCAUUCCAAGUGACUGCCUAUCAUUUAAGCACUCUGUGAUCCCUUGAUGAAACAACAUAUAUCAACUGCCUCUUAGAACACUGGCUAUAAGUAAAGAAUUUAUGUCUAAAUUCAUUAAUUUGGAUUGGUUAUAUUCAUUUUUGAACUUGAGAAUCCUGUAUAAGUAUGUUCUUUUUGUUAGUGGGAUAACAAGUGAUAUGUAAGAUUCUAUGAGAGGAGGAGGCCUUAGGAUUAGAUGAUUUGGUGAUUUUAAUAGGGCUUUAUUGGUGAAUGCUCUUAGAAAUAGGAAUCAAGAGGCUUUAUGGAACAAAUGGUGAGAGUACAGUUAAGAUAGGAAGGUGUGUGAUGAUAUGUGAUCGUUUAGCAGCUUGAAAGGAUGGAGUGCGAAAGAUGUUUUUGACAUUUGGGUCCAUGUUCAAAGCUAGAUUUUGCUUAGGUAUUGGAAUAACUUUUUGUUGGAAAAUUACAAUUUAAGGGCAUUUAUGGUUGUCUGCAACGAAGACCUGAGGAGGACCUAGUAAAACAAAGUGCUCAGAUUUGUGUGAAGGGUUUUGAAUGAAUUGACGACCCAAAGUAACAUUGAAAAGAAUUUGGAGAAGUUUGCAAUAAAAAUUGAGGUAGGCCUUCAUAGAAAUACUUAGCAAAGAAGAAUUUAAAACGUGCCCCAAAUAAGCUGUACAAGAAGUGAUGGUUAUUGAUAAGAAACUACAUUUUGUUAGUGACCUAGCA
This 1731-nucleotide long non-coding RNA is filed under the name Phoenix dactylifera (date palm). Its description in RNAcentral is "long non-coding RNA (PDAC_LNC012722)". Lineage: Eukaryota; Viridiplantae; Streptophyta; Magnoliopsida; Arecales; Arecaceae. The record is from RNAcentral.